RNAcentral lists this ribosomal RNA (499 nucleotides) under uncultured bacterium. Its description in RNAcentral is "bacterial SSU rRNA". It matches the Rfam family "Bacterial small subunit ribosomal RNA", at positions 8 to 507 of the family's 1533-position model. The record is from RNAcentral.
AGAGUUUGAUCAUGGCUCAGGAUGAACGCUAGCGGGAGGCCUAACACAUGCAAGCCGAGCGGUAUUGUUUCUUCGGAAAUGAGAGAGCGGCGUACGGGUGCGGAACACGUGUGCAACCUGCCUUUAUCUGGGGGAUAGCCUUUCGAAAGGAAGAUUAAUACUCCAUAAUAUAUUGAACGGCAUCGUUUAAUAUUGAAAGCUCCGGCGGAUAGAGAUGGGCACGCGCAAGAUUAGCUAGUUGGUGAGGUAACGGCUCACCAAGGCAAUGAUCUUUAGGGGGCCUGAGAGGGUGAUCCCCCACACUGGUACUGAGACACGGACCAGACUCCUACGGGAGGCAGCAGUGAGGAAUAUUGGUCAAUGGGUGCAAGCCUGAACCAGCCAUCCCGCGUGAAGGACGACUGCCCUAUGGGUUGUAAACUUCUUUUGUAUAGGGAUAAACCUACCCUCGUGAGGGUAGCUGAAGGUACUAUACGAAUAAGCACCGGCUAACUCCGUG